AUAUUUACAGAUUGUUAUAUUCCUAAAUCCAUAUUUAUGCAAUUCUUAUAUUCCUAAAUCCUCACACUAGACAUCCCACGACAUUGCAUUAAUAACUAGACAUCCCUAGACAUCCAAUUAAUAACUAGACAUCCCUAGACAUCCCAUUAGUAACUAGACAUUCCUCUGAAGAACUUUACGUGUCUAAGAUCCAUGACCUUCAUGCAACCGUAUAUUAUCUCUAGAUAAUCCCAAUUAUCCAAAUGUCCCUAGGAAGAGUCACACGACGUCAGUUGUAGUAAAUAUUGUUUCGAAAAAAUAAUAUCGCUGCACGUUCAAGAUCUGCACAUAUUAAAAACAGUGUUUAUUACUUUCACGAUUAUAUCUGACAAGAGUGAGGUCAUGCAGUUGAAUGUAUACAUUUGUUACACAAUAUGGUAAUCAUUGAUAUGCUUCUAUGUGACAGAACUCGAAUGAAUCGAGUUUUAUUGUGGGAAAAAAAAUAUGAACUGAUAAGAAUAUAUCAUUGAUAAGAUUGUAAUUAUGCAGGUAAUAAAAGUUAUACAUUUUUCAUGAACAAUUUAUAUGUUCAUUAAAUGAAAUAAAGAGUCGUGUAUACUAUUGUGAAUAUUAUUUUUUAUAAUGAUAGCUUUAUUUGUAAAAUGUUCUUUUUGGUACACGUGAUCGAUGCCUGGAGAGUUCCAAAUAAAGACGUUGAUAUUAAGUUUGUUUUUAUUUUAUUAAGUUUAAUCGAUAAUUUAAUUUUGUAUGGAAUUAUUCAUUUAAAAUUUCGGAGUUAAAAUAAUUUUUUAAAUGAACGGUGAUUUAUAAUAUUUCGUAGAUUUAAUAACAAUUCGUUAAUUAAGAAUGUUAAUAAAAACUUAGUUUACAUAAAAUAAAGAUAACGCAACGGAUCUUCGGGUUAAAGGUAGAGCAAGUUGUAGCCAUGUUAUUGAUUAAUGCAAAUUGAAAAUUUAUCAACAUCGGUACACCUCGUGCGUGACCAAUAAUAUGCACGUAUUUCAUACUGAUUUUGUGUCGAAUGUUAUAAACUACUUAUUAUAAAUAUUAAAAAAUUGCAUAGCAAUAAAAAAUUUAUGAAAAUCAUA
Molecule: long non-coding RNA, 1088 nt
Organism: Megachile rotundata (alfalfa leafcutting bee)
Lineage: Eukaryota; Metazoa; Arthropoda; Insecta; Hymenoptera; Megachilidae
Source: RefSeq, a predicted model, not a curated record